This 658-nucleotide long non-coding RNA is filed under the name Bos taurus (domestic cattle). Its description in RNAcentral is "long non-coding RNA NONBTAT022456". Lineage: Eukaryota; Metazoa; Chordata; Mammalia; Artiodactyla; Bovidae. The record is from RNAcentral.
GGGGAAUGAGAUCAGUAAAGAAAGUAACUGACUGAAUAGUAUGGCUCAUAAUUAGUAAAUGUCAGCUCAGUUUUUGCUAGGUUUAAGUUUAGUUAGAGAUCUGUCCAUUGGAUAAAAAAUGACUACAAAAUUUUAAUGUGUUCAGUAGCACUGAAGUGAAAUAGAAGAGGAAAACAGUAGGUUUGUAAUGCAAAUUUUUAUCAUUUUAACAAUAAUGCCAAUACCUACUGAGUUUAAUUUCAUUAUUUCAUUCUUUGUUCAGAGGGACCAGUUGUUCUAUUUUUAACCAUAUCUUUUUGAUUUCUGUGUCUGUCAUAAAGACAUUUAUUUAGGAUAUACAUCCUAGCAGUCAAGUUGGAGACCAGUUCUUACUUCACUUUCUAUAUUUUCUUUAAAAAUACAUACCAGAACAUAGUUAUGGGACCGAGUUUAAUGCUGGAUUAAUAAUGAAUGUAUACCUGCAUGAGUGUGCUUUAUGGACCUAGAAGAAAUAAUUGAACAUGAAAGCAGUUUUUGAAGUUACUGUUGCAGGAUAAAUUCAAGUGCCAUUCAAAAUUGCUUUGCACCUGCAAGUAGAAUAAUCAAGGCAUAGAAGGAAUCCUAAAUGACACAGUCUUGCACACUUUGGUUCCUUGAAAAAAAUUAAAAUGUUGCUUAG